Molecule: ribosomal RNA, 444 nt
Filed under: uncultured bacterium
Lineage: Bacteria
Description: SSU rRNA
Rfam family: Bacterial small subunit ribosomal RNA
Source: RNAcentral
AGAGCGAACGCUGGCGGCAGGCCUAACACAUGCAAGUCGAGCGCCCGUAGCAAUACGGGAGCGGCAGACGGGAUAGUAACACGUGGGAACGCGCCCUUCGGUUCGGAAUAACUCAGGGAAACUUGAGCUAAUACCGAAUACGCCCUUACGGGGAAAGAUUUAUUGCCGAAGGAACGGCCCGCGUCCGAUUAGCUAGUUGGUGAGGUAAUGGCUCACCAAGGCUACGAUCGGUAGCUGGUCUGAGAGGAUGACCAGCAUCACUGGGACUGAGACACGGCCCAGACUCCUACGGGAGGCAGCAGUGGGGAAUAUUGGACAAUGGGCGAAAGCCUGAUCCAGCCAUGCCGCGUGGAUGAUGAAGGCCUUAGGGUUGUAAAGUCCUUUAACGGGAAGAUAAUGACGGUACCGUAGAAUAAGCCCGGCUAACUUCGUGCCAGCAGCCGC